CUGUGAGCCACUGCGUCCAGCCCUAAGAUGAUUCAUACCUAUCGGGGAAAACAGUGCCACUGGAGAGAACAGGCUGGCCCCUGCACUCUGGAUUGGGGACAGGAGUUAUCCAGGCCUGUCUGAAGGCAAUAGCAGGUGUGUCCAUGGGACUUCUUCCAGGAAGGGUGGGCCUUGAGUUACAGACCUGAAAAGGUGCAUAGGGUUCUGGGAACAGAGUGGGUCACGGGUGAGCCCAGGCCUUGGGGUGAGGCAUACCUGGCUCUGUUUGGCUGAGUAGCUUCAGGCAGAUCCCUUUUCCUUUCUGAGCCUCUGCUGCUGACCAGGGUGACGCUAUUCCAUGCUGGUCCACAGUGAGGAGACGGGAGGGAAUGGUGGCCAGCACACUUGGCAUGGGGCCUGGCCUGUGGCGUGGGCCCACCCCUGGCUGCUUUUGGUUUUCCUUGACCAGCCGCCCUGCCCCGGGCAGACAGAUGCAGCUGGGGCCUUCCGGUGGCUGGAACCCUCAGAGCGAUGGCUGCAGGUGCUGCAGGAGGGCGUCUUGUGCAGGACCUUGGCGGGGUGCUGGCCCCUGAGGCUCCUUGCCACCCCGGGCAGCCUGGCGGAGCUGCCUGUCACCCAUCCUGCCGGAGUGAGGUGAGGGUGAUGGGGGGGAUGCCAGUCCAGGUGGUGGGCACUGUGGCAGGGCUGCCAGUCAGGCCCUCUUCUCUUCCCACUCCUCCAGGCCUCCCAUCCCUGGACCGCCUUAUGUGGCCUCCCCUGACCUCUGGUCCCACUGGGAAGACUCAGCCCUGCCCCCACCAAGCCUGAGGCCUGUGCAGCCCACCUGGGAGGGCUCCUCAGAGGCAGGCCUGGACUGGGCUGGGGCCAGCUUCUCCCCAGGGACUCCGAUGUGGGCGGCCUUGGAUGAGCAGAUGCUGCAGGAGGGCAUCCAGGCCUCGCUUCUUGACGGGCCAGCCCAGGAACCCCAGAGCGCACCAUGGCUGUCCAAUUCCUCUGUCUUCUCUCUGCGGCUGCAGCAGCUGGAGCGCAUGGGCUUCCCUACGGAGCAGGCGGUGGUGGCACUGGCAGCCACAGGCCGUGUGGAGGGUGCCGUGUCACUGUUGGUUGGAGGACAAGUGGGCACUGAGACCCUGGUGACCCAUGGAAAGGGUAGGCCUGCCCACUCCGAGGGUCCUGGGCCUCCCUAGCCCAGGCAGAGAGUGGGGCACAGGCAGGCCCUUGGGUGCUAAGGGCUGGGCUGCAUGUGGGUAGCCCGAGCUCCUGCUCUGUCUAAAGAGGGCCACAGUGGGGAGCAGGGGCACCUCUGGAGGCAGGAGAGGCCCCCCAGCAUGCUGCCCUAGUACGUGUUUAGAAUAAAAACCAGUUUGUUUUUCAACCUGGACCUCCUUGGAGGCAGCAGUUGUGUUUGACUCUUCUGUGUUGGCAUCAGGGGGAUGAAUGAAUGAGUGAGCACCAAAUGAAUGACCAGUUGUGGGAGAGCUGUUCCCUGAUGUCCA
Molecule: long non-coding RNA, 1496 nt
Filed under: Pan troglodytes (chimpanzee)
Lineage: Eukaryota; Metazoa; Chordata; Mammalia; Primates; Hominidae
Description: long non-coding RNA NONPTRT009742
Source: RNAcentral